GGUGGGCUGGCAGAGUGGCUGAAUGCAGCGGUCUUGAAAACCGCCGACGGUUAGUAGCCGUCCCGGGGUUCGAAUCCCUGGCCCACCGCCA
This 91-nucleotide transfer RNA is filed under the name Marinobacter nauticus. Its description in RNAcentral is "tRNA-Ser". It matches the Rfam family "tRNA". Rfam says of the family: Transfer RNA (tRNA) molecules are approximately 80 nucleotides in length. Their secondary structure includes four short double-helical elements and three loops (D, anti-codon, and T loops). RNAcentral also lists the same sequence under 14 other names. The record is from RNAcentral. Lineage: Bacteria; Pseudomonadati; Pseudomonadota; Gammaproteobacteria; Pseudomonadales; Marinobacteraceae.